AUUCCUACGGGAGGCAGCAGUAAGGAAUCUUCCACAAUGGGGGCAACCCUGAUGGAGCAACGCCGCGUGAAGGAUGAAGGCCUUAGGGUCGUAAACUUCUUUUGUUAGCGAAGAAUAUGACGGUAACUAACGAAUAAGGGCCGGCUAACUACGUGCCAGCAGCCGCGGUCAUACGUAGGGCCCGAGCGUUAUCCGGAGUGACUGGGCGUAAAGAGUUGCGUAGGCGGCUUAAUAAGUGGAUAGUGAAACCUGGUGGCUCAACCAUACAGACUAUUAUCCAAACUGUUAAGCUCGAGAAUGGUAGAGGUGAUUGGAAUUUCUAGUGUAGGAGUGAAAUCCGUAGAUAUUAGAAGGAACACCAAUGGCGUAGGCAGAUCACUGGACCAUUUCUGACGCUAAGGCACGAAAGCGUGGGGAGCGAACCGGAUUAGAUACCCGGGUAGUCCACGCCGUAAACGAUGGAUGCUAGCUGUGGGGGGUAUCGACCCCCUCCGUAGCGAAGCUAACGCGUUAAGCAUCCCGCCUGUGGAGUACGGCCGCAAGGCUAAAACAUAAAGGAAUUGACGGGGACCCGCACAAGCGGUGGAGCGAGUUCUUUAAUUCGAUGAUAAACGAAGAACCUUACCAGGGCUUGACAUCCCGAGAAUUUUGUCGAAAGACGAGAGUGCUUUAUUGAACUCGGUGACAGAUCUUGCAUGGCCGUCGUCAGCUCGUGUCGUGAGAUGUUUGGUUAAGUCCAUCAACGAGCGCAACCCUUGUGAUUAGUUGAAUUUUUCUAAUCAUACUGCCCCGGUAACGGGGAGGAAGGAGGGGAUGAUGUCAGGUCAGUAUUCGUCUUACGUCCUGGGCUAGAAACGCGCUACAAUGGCCAGUACAACGGGCAGCCAACCCGCAAGGGGGAGCAAAUCCCAUCAAAACUGGUCCCAGUUCGGAUAAGAGGCUGAAACUCGCCUCUUUGAAGUCGGAAUCGCUAGUAAUCGCAGAUCAGCAUGUUGCGGUGAAUACGUUCCCGGGCCUUGUACACACCGCC
Molecule: ribosomal RNA, 1030 nt
Filed under: uncultured bacterium
Lineage: Bacteria
Description: bacterial SSU rRNA
Rfam family: Bacterial small subunit ribosomal RNA
Source: RNAcentral